This 482-nucleotide ribosomal RNA is filed under the name uncultured bacterium. RNAcentral's name for it is "partial 16S ribosomal RNA". It matches the Rfam family "Bacterial small subunit ribosomal RNA", at positions 30 to 507 of the family's 1533-position model. The record is from RNAcentral.
AUUGAACGCUGGCGGCAUGCCUUACACAUGCAAGUCGAACGGUAACGGGCCUUCGGGUGCCGACGAGUGGCGCACGGGUGUGUAAUACAUCGGAACGUGCCCGAUCGUGGGGGAUAACGAGGCGAAAGCUUUGCUAAUACCGCAUACGAUCUACGGAUGAAAGCAGGGGACCGCAAGGCCUUGCGCGGACGGAGCGGCCGAUGGCAGAUUAGGUAGUUGGUGGGAUAAAAGCUUACCAAGCCGACGAUCUGUAGCUGGUCUGAGAGGAUGAUCAGCCACACUGGGACUGAGACACGGCCCAGACUCCUACGGGAGGCAGCAGUGGGGAAUUUUGGACAAUGGGCGCAAGCCUGAUCCAGCCAUGCCGCGUGCAGGAUGAAGGCCUUCGGGUUGUAAACUGCUUUUGUACGGAACGAAAAGCCUUCUUUUAAUACAGGAGGGUCAUGACGGUACCGUAAGAAUAAGCACCGGCUAACUACGUG